AUUACAUAAUAGGCUCACCAGAUUAGCAGUAUCCCAUUACUUGAAAUUUCAGAACCAAAGCCUGAGAGCUGAUUCCUCUCUCUCACUUACUCACUCUCACUCUCUCUCUCUCUCUCACACACACACACACAACACACACACACACACAUUCUUCUUAUACACACAUACAUGCCUGCAGACACAUUAAGAUCCAACUCAUUUUUCUUAGAUAUUUAUUUCCUGCUUCAUUGUGAAUGUAUACCGAAACAUUCCACUAGUUUCAGAAACACUGAAAAGGGCUGGAUCUAAAAACUGUUUAAUUGGUGGGGCUACUUGUCCACCCAGAAGAGUGUCUCCUGUUUAGAGGAAUUGAAGCUGCUUGCCAAUACUUCAGGGAAAAUGUGCAGUGACAGAAUAAUGAAGCAUUUUAUUCCCCGUUGUUCUUUUCAAACAUCCAGCAGUCUCAGGCCUAGGGCAGUACUGCUCUGUGCUUGCUAUGAUCAACAAAACCAAGCAAGUCAACACAGCUGGUAAUCUCCUGGGCAAGAAUGCAGCACAAGGAAAUUAAAUGGGCAAUACAAAGCACAGCUGAGUUUAAAAAAAAAGAUUCUUGGUAAAUGUGUGUGUAUUCUUGGGUUUUCACAAGGUGAGAGAUACAAGCAACGUGUCCAGACUUUUGCCAGAAGAAAAAGUUGAACUUCACAGACCUAGGCAGACUGACGUGACUGCACUGAACAAUGCAGCUUUUGUUGAUUACUGUGAGACAUCACAGACAAUGAUGAAGUCUGACAGGUCUGCUGAUAGAGCAACACAAACUGACCAGAGGAAAAUGGAAAAAGCACUUCAGCUCCAGGGACCAGAAGUCAACCACGACAUUACUGAACAGCAGAGAUAAUCUACAAACAGGACAUCCCCGUACUCACUUAAUGGGGGAAGAUGUCAAAGCUUGAUAUUUUUUGUAGGAAUAGAGUGUAAAAAUAAUACAGGGGGUUUGUAAAAAGUGUAACCCUGAAAAUGUGGAUUGUGCUCAAUGCAGGAAGUUUUAAAGAGCAAUAUGCUGAAUGAAUCCUAGAGAUUACUGCAGGGCAGCUUCACCACUUUAGUCGAAUACAUUACAAAAGCCAUUGAUUCUAUGAGACCGGGGAGAGGGGGAGGAGGUUUACACUCCUGACAACACACUGAGCAGACUUCAUAACAAAACACGCUAUUCCCACUUAGUUGGCAGGGUAUUUCAGCAUGAAACCUGUGGGAAGACUACCUCCCACCUUCUUUAUUUGCUCCUCUCCAUAACCAAGGGCCUCCGCCAUAGAUGGAGCAUUGAUGUUGAAGAAAUGAGUCCCAAAUUUCUAACCUACAAUGCCGGCCAUCCAAAACUGGUAUUUUGUCAAUGGUGACAUAUCCUUGUGGCAGAGUUCACAAGCUGCUUAGAUCAAUUAAGAUUUUCAGAU
RNAcentral lists this long non-coding RNA (1427 nucleotides) under Pogona vitticeps (central bearded dragon). RNAcentral's name for it is "lncRNA (ENSPVIG00000001593.1)". The record is from RNAcentral. Lineage: Eukaryota; Metazoa; Chordata; Lepidosauria; Squamata; Agamidae.